CUUAACUUUAGAGGAGCGAAAUAUUCUGAUAUUUUUUAGUAUCUUGAAAUGUUUAAUGAGUUAUGUACAGUAACAUGUAUUUAAGAUGUCUUGUUUUAAAGGUCGUUAUAAAAAUAUAUCACAAAGGAAUCUCAAAAUGAAAAUGGAUUAAUCUUGAUAUGUAAGUAUUCACUUGUUACAUAAGGACGCUUUUAUGAACAGCUGUACUGGCACUGGGUCGAUACCAAUGCCAGUGAAGUUUGAUCAAUUAGGAAAUUACAACAAUACAAAAAGGUUCAAACUCCCUAAGGCUAAACCCUAACCAUUUUUUUUUUCUUUGCGGGUCUAUGUAGUUUUACUUCCAUGGAUUUUAAAUUUUUGGGUUUGAAGAUAGUUAUAUUCAUGCAAUUGUCACAAAAACUGAAAAGAGUUUUGCUUUCUCAAGAAUUACAUGUUUGCGAGGUGCAGUGCACUUUGAACAAGAACAAGACAUGUAGCUCGUGCUGAUUCAACUCUGUUUAUUUUCAUUAGAUAAAAUAAAUGUAGCAAAUAUGCAAAGAAUAACAUGGCAAACUGUAUUAUUAUAUUGAUUGACACAACACUAUUCGUAUAUAACAGUGGAAAUUUUAAAACAAAUAGAAAUAUUUUAAAUAAAAAUCAUGCAUCAUGACGGUUGAUCUUCUGACGUAAAUUUCUAAAGCAAUUAAAAUGCUUUAGCACACGUAAUAUGCACAGACAAUAAUCCAGCAUUUCAACUUGUGAACAGAACUCCUAAAUACAUUAACUGAUAAUGUCAUCUUUAUGUCGUAAAUGACAUUUGUAGUCUGUUUUUUUUUUGACGAUUUUAAAGUAAGACAGUAUUUGGAUAGAGUUGAAGUUUCUUUAAACUGUGAUGCUAGCGAUAGUUGGUAAUUGUGUGUAAUCCACUAAUAGAUAGUAUGCUUGCGUCACCGUGAUUACAAAAUUGAUUCCACUAAUUAGUAUGCUUGCGUCACCGUGAUUACAAAAUUGAUUCCACUAAUUAGUAUGCUUGCGUCACUGUGAUUACAAAAUUGAUUCCACUAAAUAGUAUGCUUGCAUCACCGUGAUUACAAAAUUGAUUCCACUAAAUAGUAUGCUUGCGUCACCGUGAUUACAAAAUUGAUUCCACUAAUUAGUAUGCUUGCGUCACCGUGAUUACAAAAUUGUUCACUUUGCAGUGUUUUCAUUUCCGUUUUGGGUUAAAUGAUAAGGUCACCCGCUCUUCCCAAAAAAUACCACUCGUUCCUAUGUGUCUAUAUCUUUGCACCUAAAACAAACAUGUUCCCCAAUAUUGGUAUUCAAAUAGCUGACUGCGCUAACAUUAAUGCGAUAGUUACUUUGAUAGAGAGAGUGAAAUGUACACAACGUAAUUGAACAAUACAGCAAAGAUGUCGCAAUAUCUGAUAUUGUUUUAAAAGAGCCAUCAGUUUUAUCGUUGCUUAUUAACUUUUUUAUUCAUUCAACAGAUAUCAUAAAUUUUAAUUUUACAUUUACAUUUGAUUUCAAUUGAGUAUUUGAAUUACGUUGCUAUAAACAUACCUGUACUCACUCAUUUCAG
RNAcentral lists this long non-coding RNA (1558 nucleotides) under Mytilus galloprovincialis (Mediterranean mussel). The record is from RNAcentral. Lineage: Eukaryota; Metazoa; Mollusca; Bivalvia; Mytilida; Mytilidae.